Molecule: ribosomal RNA, 253 nt
Filed under: uncultured bacterium
Lineage: Bacteria
Description: partial 16S ribosomal RNA
Rfam family: Bacterial small subunit ribosomal RNA
Source: RNAcentral
UACGAGGGGUGCAAGCGUUGCUCGGAAUUAUUGGGCGUAAAGGGUAGGUAGGUGGUCUCAUUUGUCUGGGGUGAAAGCCUCGAGCUUAACUCGAGAAGUGCCCCAGAAACGGUGAGACUAGAGUCUUGGAGAGGGUCGUGGAAUUCCCGGUGUAGCGGUGAAAUGCGUAGAGAUCGGGAGGAACACCAGAGGCGAAGGCGGCGAUCUGGGAAGAUACUGACGCUGAGGUGCGAAAGCGUGGGGAGCAAACAGG